UCCUUGGUUUAACCCACUUUCAGCCUGGCGCAUUAGGGGGCGCUAGUAUAAAUAGUGGCCAUUUGAGCGUCCCUGGAUCGCUUACCUGUGAUCUCCCCUUUGGUCACCUGACUUCCCUUUGGUGUUGCCGAGAUCAUUUGCGGGUUACACUUCUGAAGCCUCCAUCGCGGCUGGUCGUAGCUGUAGAAGCCUCCUCUGAGCCAUUCUGCUCAUGCUUUAUGGUUUUACGCCACGCUACGCGAACUGAAGUGCUGCUGCUUUGCUUUGUUUUGCUUUGCUUUUACUGUCUGUUCCGGCUGCGAGGUUUCUUUCCUACUGCUGCCAGCCUUUAAAGUGGACGUCGGCGUGGACAACGGCCAUAUGCAUGCCACGCGAGUCGGCUGGCGUGCAUGUUGAUUGACUGACUGGAAGAUUAACUUAUAGUCGGGCAGACGGCCAGUUGGAGUACUACGGCGAUUCCGUCUGCUCCAUAUUUUAGAGUUUUAUCUAGAUUAUGCGGAGCGCCGACGUGGAGGAGACUAGGGUGCCUUGGAGGUGGGAUCCUUUGAGUGUACACACCUGCCUUGUUUAGUUUAUUAGUGUUAGUGUGUGAUAGUGUGCUGCACUUGUGUCUUGGUGUGUUUUCUUCUUUUUUUGAGUUUGUGUGUGUGGCAUCCCUGCCCCUCCACUGGUAAGCCUCAGCUCUGAAUACCCCUUUUUUAAGCAUAUUUAUACACUAAUAUUUAUGAUUGUGCUUUUAUACGUUGUUUUAAAUAAUUAAUAAAUUGUUAACUUAUUUUAUCAUUGAA
Molecule: long non-coding RNA, 788 nt
Organism: Oreochromis niloticus (Nile tilapia)
Lineage: Eukaryota; Metazoa; Chordata; Actinopteri; Cichliformes; Cichlidae
Exons: 2
Source: RefSeq, a predicted model, not a curated record